AACGGUUUUCGUACCCUCCGGGUGGACAGGGAGGACAGGUGGUGCAUGGUUGUCGUCAGCUCGUGUCGUGAGAUGUUGGUUAAGUCCCGCAACGAGCGCAACCCCUACGUUUAGUUGCUAACGCGUGAAGGCGAGCACUCUAGACGAACUGCCGUUGACAAAACGGAGGAAGGUGGGGAUGACGUCAAAUCAUCAUGCCCCUUAUGUUCUGGGCUACACACGUGCUACAAUGGCCGGUACAGACGGACGCAAAGCCGCGAGGUGGAGCAAAUCCUAAAAAGCCGGUCUCAGUUCGGAUUGCAGGCUGCAAUUCGCCUGCAUGAAGUCGGAAUCGCUAGUAAUCGCAGGUCAGCAUACUGCGGUGAAUACGUUCCCGGGCCUU
Molecule: ribosomal RNA, 382 nt
Filed under: uncultured Pelotomaculum sp.
Lineage: Bacteria; Bacillati; Bacillota; Clostridia; Eubacteriales; Desulfotomaculaceae
Description: bacterial SSU rRNA
Rfam family: Bacterial small subunit ribosomal RNA
Source: RNAcentral